RNAcentral lists this ribosomal RNA (1626 nucleotides) under Xylella fastidiosa. Its description in RNAcentral is "partial 23S ribosomal RNA". It matches the Rfam family "Bacterial large subunit ribosomal RNA", at positions 1 to 1681 of the family's 2925-position model. The record is from RNAcentral. Lineage: Bacteria; Pseudomonadati; Pseudomonadota; Gammaproteobacteria; Lysobacterales; Lysobacteraceae.
GUUAUAUGGUCAAGCGAAUAAGCGCACAUGGUGGAUGCCUUGGCGGUCAGAGGCGAUGAAGGACGUGGUAGCCUGCGAAAAGUGUCGGGGAGCUGGCAACAAGCUUUGAUCCGGCAAUAUCCGAAUGGGGGAACCCACUGUUUAGGCAGUAUCUUUGAGUAAAUUCAUAGCUCAAGGAGGCGAACCUGGUGAACUGAAAUAUCUAAGUAACCAGAGGAAAAGAAAUCAACAGAGAUUCCCUGAGUAGUGACGAGCGAACGGGGAUUAGCCCUUAAGCUAGUAUGGUUUUAGGAAAGCAAUCUGGGAAGGUUGGCCAUAGAAGGUGAUAGCCCUGUAUCCGAAAGGGCCGUACUAGUGAAGAUGAGUAGGACGGGGCACGUGAAACCUUGUCUGAAUAUGGGGGGUCCAUCCUCCAAGGCUAAAUACUCCUGACCGACCGAUAGUGAACUAGUACCGUGAGGGAAAGGCGAAAAGAACCCCGGAGAGGGGAGUGAAAUAGAACCUGAAACCAUGUGCGUACAAGCAGUAGGAGCCCUUAUGGGUGACUGCGUACCUUUUGUAUAAUGGGUCAGCGACUUACUGUUCGUGGCGAGCUUAACCGUAUAGGGGAGGCGAAGGGAAACCGAGUCUGAUAAGGGCGCAUAGUCGCGGGCAGUAGACCCGAAACCGGGUGAUCUAGUCAUGUCCAGGGUGAAGGUGCCGUAACAGGUACUGGAGGCCCGAACCCACUCCCGUUGCAAAGGUAGGGGAUGAGGCGUGAUUAGGAGUGAAAAGCUAAUCGAACCCGGAGAUAGCUGGUUCUCCUCGAAAGCUAUUUAGGUAGCGCCUCAUAUGUAUCCUCUCGGGGGUAGAGCACUGUUAUGGCUAGGGGGUCAUCGCGACUUGCCAAACCAUUGCAAACUCCGAAUACCGAGAAGGACUGUAUGGGAGACACACGGCGGGUGCUAACGUCCGUCGUGAAAAGGGAAACAACCCAGACCCACAGCUAAGGUCCCAAAUUCAUAGCUAAGUGGAAAACGAUGUGGAAAGGCAUAGACAGCCAGGAGGUUGGCUUAGAAGCAGCCAUCCUUUAAAGAAAGCGUAAUAGCUCACUGGUCGAGUCGGUCUGCGCGGAAGAUUUAACGGGGCUAAGCUAUGAACCGAAGCUUGGGGUGCAUAUUUUUAUAUGCGCGGUAGAGGAGCGUUCCGUAAGCCUGUGAAGGUGAGUUGAGAAGCUUGCUGGAGGUAUCGGAAGUGCGAAUGCUGACAUGAGUAACGAUAAUAUGGGUGAAAAACCCAUACGCCGAAAGCCUAAGGUUUCCUUGCGCAACGUUAAUCGGCGCAGGGUUAGUCGGCCCCUAAGGCGAGGGCGAAAGCCGUAGUCGAUGGGAAGCAGGUUAAUAUUCCUGCACCUCGCGUGAGUGCGAUGGAGGGACGGAGAAGGCUAGGUGUACCGGGCGUUGGUUGUCCCGGGGAAAGGAGGUAGGCUGGGUCCUUAGGAAAAUCCGGGGGUCCUUUUAAAGCCGAGCACCGAGACGAGUCUUUUUUAGAUGAAGUCACUGAUGCCACGCUUCCAGGAAAAGCUUCUAAGCUUCAGCUCACGAAGACCGUACCGUAAACCGACACAGGUAGGUAGGAUGAGAAUUC